RNAcentral lists this ribosomal RNA (516 nucleotides) under uncultured bacterium. Its description in RNAcentral is "partial 16S ribosomal RNA". It matches the Rfam family "Bacterial small subunit ribosomal RNA", at positions 28 to 523 of the family's 1533-position model. The record is from RNAcentral.
GACGAACGCUGGCGGCGUGCCUAAUACAUGCAAGUCGAGCGGACGUUGUUGGAGCUUGCUCCAAUAACGUCAGCGGCGGACGGGUGAGUAACACGUGGGCAACCUGCCUUAACGACUGGGAUAACUCCGGGAAACCGGGGCUAAUACCGGAUAACAUCUAGCACCUCCUGGUGCAAGAUUAAAAGAGGGCCUCUGGCUCUCACGUUAAGAUGGGCCCGCGGCGCGUUAGCGAGUUGGAGAGGUAAUGGCUCCCCAAGGCGACGAUGCGUAGCCGACCUGAGAGGGUGAUCGGCCACACUGGGACUGAGACACGGCCCAGACUCCUACGGGAGGCAGCAGUAGGGAAUCUUCCGCAAUGGACGAAAGUCUGACGGAGCAACGCCGCGUGAGUGAAGAAGGGUUUCGGCUCGUAAAGCUCUGUUAUGAGGGAAGAACACGUACCGUUCGAAUAGGGCGGUACCUUGACGGUACCUCAUCAGAAAGCCACGGCUAACUACGUGCCAGCCGCCGCCGUAA